GAUGAACGCUAGCGGCAGGCCUAAUACAUGCAAGUCGAGGGGCAGCAGGGUAGCAAUAUCGCUGGCGACCGGCGCACGGGUGCGUAACACGUAUACAAUCUGCCCUUAACAGGGGGAUAGCCCGGAGAAAUCCGGAUUAAUACCCCAUAAUAAUAGAACAGGCAUCUGUUUUAUUUGAAAGUUCCGACGGUUAAGGAUGAGUAUGCGUCUGAUUAGCUAGUUGGUGAGGUAAAGCUUACCAAGGCGAUGAUCGGUAGCUGUUCUGAGAGGAAGAUCAGCCACACUGGGACUGAGACACGGCCCAGACUCCUACGGGAGGCAGCAGUGGGGAAUUUUGGGACAAUGGGGGCAACCCUGAUCCAGCAACGCCGCGUGAAUGAAGAAGGCCUUAGGGUUGUAAGUUCUUUUGUCUGGGGACAAGAGCCACUGGGUAAUAUACAGUGGAGAUGAGGGUACCAGAAGAAUAAGCAACCGGCUAACUACGUGCCAGCAGCC
Molecule: ribosomal RNA, 495 nt
Filed under: uncultured bacterium
Lineage: Bacteria
Description: bacterial SSU rRNA
Rfam family: Bacterial small subunit ribosomal RNA
Source: RNAcentral